AGAAGCAGCCAUCAUUUAAAGAAAGCGUAAUAGCUCACUGGUCGAGUCGGCCUGCGCGGAAGAUGUAACGGGGCUAAACCAUGCACCGAAGCUGCGGCAGCGACACUGUGUGUUGUUGGGUAGGGGAGCGUUCUGUAAGCCUGUGAAGGUGGCCUGUGAGGGUUGCUGGAGGUAUCAGAAGUGCGAAUGCUGACAUAAGUAACGAUAAAGCGGGUGAAAAGCCCGCUCGCCGGAAGACCAAGGGUUCCUGUCCAACGUUAAUCGGGGCAGGGUGAGUCGACCCCUAAGGCGAGGCCGAAAGGCGUAGUCGAUGGGAAACGGGUUAAUAUUCCCGUACUUGGUGUUACUGCGAAGGGGGGACGGAGAAGGCUAUGUUGGCCGGGCGACGGUUGUCCCGGUUUAAGCGUGUAGGUGUGUGUUCCAGGUAAAUCCGGUUCACUUUAACACUGAGGCGUGACGACGAGGCACUACGGUGCUGAAGCAACAAAUGCCCUGCUUCCAGGAAAAGCCUCUAAGCAUCAGGUAACAUCAAAUCGUACCCCAAACCGACACAGGUGGUCA
This 561-nucleotide ribosomal RNA is filed under the name Salmonella enterica. RNAcentral describes it as "bacterial LSU rRNA". It matches the Rfam family "Bacterial large subunit ribosomal RNA", at positions 1108 to 1669 of the family's 2925-position model. Lineage: Bacteria; Pseudomonadati; Pseudomonadota; Gammaproteobacteria; Enterobacterales; Enterobacteriaceae. The record is from RNAcentral.